Non-coding RNA from Punica granatum (pomegranate), 83 nucleotides. The record is from Rfam. NCBI's taxonomy places the organism in Eukaryota, Viridiplantae, Streptophyta, Magnoliopsida, Myrtales, Lythraceae.
UUGCUAUGAUGAUGCAUGAUCUGUGAAGGUGCGCAAUAGUCGUGCUUGAUGAGGCAACUGAUCCUGAGCGGUUACCUGAGCAA